GCUGUGGCUAGCUCAUUUGGUUAGAGCAUGGUGCUGACAAUGCCAAGGUUGCAGGUUCAAUCCCUGCAAGCGACAGCU
This 78-nucleotide transfer RNA is filed under the name Podarcis lilfordi (Lilford's wall lizard). RNAcentral describes it as "tRNA.Val". It matches the Rfam family "tRNA". Rfam says of the family: Transfer RNA (tRNA) molecules are approximately 80 nucleotides in length. Their secondary structure includes four short double-helical elements and three loops (D, anti-codon, and T loops). Lineage: Eukaryota; Metazoa; Chordata; Lepidosauria; Squamata; Lacertidae. The record is from RNAcentral.